GGCCGCAUAGCUCAAUGGAGAGAGCGCCGGUCUACGAAACCGGGUCAUGUGCAGGUUCGACUCCUGCUGCGGCUAC
RNAcentral lists this transfer RNA (76 nucleotides) under Acrocarpospora pleiomorpha. Its description in RNAcentral is "tRNA-Arg". It matches the Rfam family "tRNA". From Rfam's summary of the family: Transfer RNA (tRNA) molecules are approximately 80 nucleotides in length. Their secondary structure includes four short double-helical elements and three loops (D, anti-codon, and T loops). Lineage: Bacteria; Bacillati; Actinomycetota; Actinomycetes; Streptosporangiales; Streptosporangiaceae. The record is from RNAcentral.